This is a non-coding RNA of Cinara cedri, 215 nucleotides long. NCBI's taxonomy places the organism in Eukaryota, Metazoa, Arthropoda, Insecta, Hemiptera, Aphididae. The record is from the annotation of a GenBank genome assembly.
AAGCAUCACAUAUGAGUGUACAAUAAUACACUGAGAGUCGAUUAUCUAGUAAAAUACCUUUAUUAUGCAUAUUAUAUUUAAGGGUACGGAAUCCGCACUGGCGAAGACGUACAAAUUAUUAAAUUCCCAGAGUAGUUACUGGCCAUAGCCACGACGAUAGGUAUGAAGAAUUCCUAUGCCGUAAUAAUUAUAAUAUCAAUAUCGUUAAAGUCCGG